Molecule: ribosomal RNA, 484 nt
Filed under: uncultured bacterium
Lineage: Bacteria
Description: partial 16S ribosomal RNA
Rfam family: Bacterial small subunit ribosomal RNA
Source: RNAcentral
AUUGAACGCUGGCGGAAUGCUUUACACAUGCAAGUCGAGCGGCAGCACGGGGGCAACCCUGGUGGCGAGCGGCGAACGGGUGAGUAAUACAUCGGAACAUGCCCAGUCGUGGGGGAUAACACUUUGAAAGAAGUGCUAAUACCGCAUACGUCCUGAGGGAGAAAGCGGGGGAUCGCAAGACCUCGCGCGAUUGGAGUGGCCGAUGUCAGAUUAGCUAGUUGGUGGGGUAAAGGCCUACCAAGGCAACGAUCUGUAGCUGGUCUGAGAGGAUGAUCAGCCACACUGGGACUGAGACACGGCCCAGACUCCUACGGGAGGCAGCAGUGGGGAAUUUUGGACAAUGGGGGCAACCCUGAUCCAGCCAUUCCGCGUGAGUGAAGAAGGCCUUCGGGUUGUAAAGCUCUUUCGGCAGGAACGAAACGGUGAGCUCUAACAUAGCUCGCUAAUGACGGUACCUGAAGAAGAAGCACCGGCUAACUACGUG